AAGUUUGCAAUUUGUUGUACCAUUCUGGGUGAUUGGAACAUUUACAUAGCACCAAGCACCAAUAUGUGAAGUUACUGCGAUGAGAACAGGAUUGAAGCAACAUCACUGCAAUGACAACUUUGCAAUGGUCAAGGUAUUCACAGAUAUGUGAAGUUACUCUGAUGAAAACAACAAUGUUGGUAACAUCACUGCAAUGACAACUUAACAAGGGUCAACGCUAAUACUUUGACCCCAUUCGAUAUAUCCUGAGUCGAGGAGUACUCUUCCGGUUUAUGGCUGUAAC
This 283-nucleotide long non-coding RNA is filed under the name Fragaria vesca (wild strawberry). RNAcentral's name for it is "long non-coding RNA (FVES_LNC000353)". The record is from RNAcentral. Lineage: Eukaryota; Viridiplantae; Streptophyta; Magnoliopsida; Rosales; Rosaceae.